This 566-nucleotide long non-coding RNA is filed under the name Chrysemys picta bellii (western painted turtle). RNAcentral's name for it is "lncRNA (ENSCPBG00000004616.1)". The record is from RNAcentral. Lineage: Eukaryota; Metazoa; Chordata; Testudines; Emydidae.
GUCACUGGGAGAUCUGCUUGUCUGGGGAUAGGGCAGGGCACGAAGAGCCCCCACCCCCGGGUCCUGUGCCCUGAGAGAAGGUCUGCCAUCCAUACUGAAAUGAAAGCAGCUCACAGCGCAGCGUGGUCAGGAAAAGUGGAGGAGAAGGAAACAUGCUUCAAGGGCCCCACUCCCGUGAAGUUCCCCUGGAGACUAUAUAGGACCUUCACUGCUCAACCGGCCUAGGAAGGCUCUUUCCACAAGGCAGUGCUUCCCUGUGGCUGCUUCGAGUGUACCUGAAGUUCAGUUCCAGCAUUGAAGACACAAGCGACAGCGUGUUUGAAAUGAGUUGAUACAUUUAAUAACGUUAAUUCUGGACCUUCCAGGUCAGAGCUUGGCCACAAUGCCAAGUUUGGGCAGCAGCUCCCCACUCUCUACCCAUCUCUGGACAGAGGAGCUCAGUCGAAUGUGAAUUCAGUUGAGUUCCAUGAGGAGGCAGUUAAUCACUUAGCCAUGAUUUCAUGAUGCAGGGUCAAUCAAGUCCAGAAUCUUGUCUCUGUACCAUACUGUUCAGAGGAAGGUGGAAG